GACGAACGCUGGCGGCGUGCUUAACACAUGCAAGUCGAACGGAAAGGCCCUGCUUUUGUGGGGUGCUCGAGUGGCGAACGGGUGAGUAACACGUGAGUAACCUGCCCUUGACUUUGGGAUAACUUCAGGAAACUGGGGCUAAUACCGGAUAGGAGCUCCUGCUGCAUGGUGGGGGUUGGAAAGUUUCGGCGGUUGGGGAUGGACUCGCGGCUUAUCAGCUUGUUGGUUGGGUAGUGGCUUACCAAGGCUUUGACGGGUAGCCGGCCUGUGAGGGUGACCGGCAAAAAUGGGACUGAGAUACGGCCCAGACUCCAACGGGAGGCAGCAGUGGGGAAUAUUGCACAAUGGGCGGAAGCCUGAUGCGGCAACGCCGCGUGCGGGAUGACGGCCUUCGGGUUGUAAACCGCUUUCGCCUGUGACGAAGCGUGAGUGACGGUAAUGGGUAAAGAAGCACCGGCUAACUACGUG
Molecule: ribosomal RNA, 468 nt
Filed under: uncultured bacterium
Lineage: Bacteria
Description: partial 16S ribosomal RNA
Rfam family: Bacterial small subunit ribosomal RNA
Source: RNAcentral